RNAcentral lists this ribosomal RNA (364 nucleotides) under Grandidierina petiti. RNAcentral describes it as "partial 12S ribosomal RNA". It matches the Rfam family "Bacterial small subunit ribosomal RNA", at positions 859 to 1392 of the family's 1533-position model. Lineage: Eukaryota; Metazoa; Chordata; Lepidosauria; Squamata; Scincidae. The record is from RNAcentral.
ACAAUACCGUUCGCCAGAGAACUACAAGCAAAAAACUAGAAACUCUAAGGACUUGGCGGUGCUUCACAUCAACCUAGAGGAGCCUGUCCUAUAAUCGAUACCCCACGCUAAACCUUACCAUCUUUUGCCACUCAGCCUAUAUACCGCCGUCGUCAGCUUACCUUGUAAAAGAAAAAUAGUAGGCAAAACAGUCAACAACUAACACGUCAGGUCAAGGUGUAGCACAUAAGAUGGAAGAGAUGGGCUACAUUUUCUACCACAGAACAUACGAAUGAUACAAUGAAAUACGUACCUAAAGGUGGAUUUAGUAGUAAGAUAAAAAAGCAACACUAUCUUAAACAUGCUCUGAAGCGCGCACACACCG